This 416-nucleotide ribosomal RNA is filed under the name uncultured bacterium. RNAcentral describes it as "bacterial SSU rRNA". It matches the Rfam family "Bacterial small subunit ribosomal RNA", at positions 360 to 793 of the family's 1533-position model. The record is from RNAcentral.
AAUCUUGGACAAUGGGCGCAAGCCUGAUCCAGCCAUGCCGCGUGAGUGAUGAAGGCCUUAGGGUCGUAAAGCUCUUUCGCCAGAGAUGAUAAUGACAGUAUCUGGUAAAGAAACCCCGGCUAAACUCCGUGCCAGCAGCCGCGGUAAUACGGAGGGGUUAGCGUUGUUCGGAAUUACUGGGCGUAAAGCGCACGUAGGCGGAUUAGUUAGUCAGAGGUGAAAUCCCGGGGCUCAACCCCGGAACUGCCUUUGAUACUGCUAGUCUUGAGUUCGAGAGAGGUGAGUGGAAUUCCGAGUGUAGAGGUGAAAUUCGUAGAUAUUCGGAGGAACACCAGUGGCGAAGGCGGCUCACUGGCUCGAUACUGACGCUGAGGUGCGAAAGUGUGGGGAGCAAACAGGAUUAGAUACCCUGGUAG